RNAcentral lists this ribosomal RNA (253 nucleotides) under uncultured bacterium. RNAcentral's name for it is "partial 16S ribosomal RNA". It matches the Rfam family "Bacterial small subunit ribosomal RNA", at positions 524 to 776 of the family's 1533-position model. The record is from RNAcentral.
UACAGAGGUGGCAAGCGUUGUUCGGAAUUACUGGGCGUAAAGGGCGCGUAGGCGGCCUUCUAAGUCAGACGUGAAAUCCCCAGGCUCAACCUGGGAACUGCGUCUGAUACUGGAUGGCUUGAGUUCGGGAGAGGGAUGCGGAAUUCCAGGUGUAGCGGUGAAAUGCGUAGAUAUCUGGAGGAACACCGGUGGCGAAGGCGGCAUCCUGGACCGAUACUGACGCUGAGGAGCGAAAGCCAGGGGAGCAAACGGG